UUAAGCCAUGCGAGUCGAACGAGUUUAGGCUCGUGGCGUACGGCCCAGUAACACGUGGAUAACCUACCCUUAGGACCGGGAUAACCUUGGGAAACUGAGGAUAGUACUGGAUAGGCAAUUAUUUCUGCAAUGGUUUUUUGUUUAAAUGUUUUUUCGCCUAAGGAUGGGUCUGCGGCCGAUUAGGUAGUUGGUUAGGUAAAGGCUUACCAAGCCGUUGAUCGGUACGGGUUGUGAGAGCAAGAGCCCGGAGAUGGAACCUGAGACAAGGUUCCAGGCCCUACGGGGUGCAGCAGGCGCGAAACCUCCGCAAUGUGAGAAAUCGCGACGGGGGGAUCCCAAGUGCCAUUCUUAACGGGAUGGCUUUUCAUUAGUGUAAAGAGCUUUUGGAAUAAGGGCUGGGCAAGACCGGUGCCAGCCGCCGCGGUAA
This 427-nucleotide ribosomal RNA is filed under the name uncultured archaeon. RNAcentral describes it as "bacterial SSU rRNA". It matches the Rfam family "Archaeal small subunit ribosomal RNA", at positions 44 to 473 of the family's 1478-position model. The record is from RNAcentral.